UACGUAGGUGGCAAGCGUUGUCCGGAAUUAUUGGGCGUAAAGGGCGCGCAGGCGGCGUCGUAAGUCGGUCUUAAAAGUGCGGGGCUUAACCCCGUGAGGGGACCGAAACUGCGAUGCUAGAGUAUCGGAGAGGAAAGCGGAAUUCCUAGUGUAGCGGUGAAAUGCGUAGAUAUUAGGAGGAACACCAGUGGCGAAAGCGGCUUUCUGGACGACAACUGACGCUGAGGCGCGAAAGCCAGGGGAGCAAACGGG
RNAcentral lists this ribosomal RNA (252 nucleotides) under Megasphaera elsdenii DSM 20460. Its description in RNAcentral is "partial 16S ribosomal RNA". It matches the Rfam family "Bacterial small subunit ribosomal RNA", at positions 524 to 776 of the family's 1533-position model. The record is from RNAcentral. Lineage: Bacteria; Bacillati; Bacillota; Negativicutes; Veillonellales; Veillonellaceae. RNAcentral also lists the same sequence under 2 other names.